CCUACGGGAGGCAGCAGUGAGGAAUAUUGGUCAAUGGACGAGAGUCUGAACCAGCCAAGUAGCGUGAAGGAUGACUGCCCUAUGGGUUGUAAACUUCUUUUAUAUGGGAAUAAAAUGUUCCACGUGUGGGCUUUUGUAUAUACCAUAUGAAUAAGGUUCGGCUAACUCCGUGCCAGCAGCCGCGGUAAUACGGAGGAUCCGAGCGUUAUCCGGAUUUAUUGGGUUUAAAGGGAGCGUAGGUGGAUUGUUAAGUCAGUUGUGAAAGUUUGCGGCUCAACCGUAAAAUUGCAGUUGAAACUGGCAGUCUUGAGUACAGUAGAGGUGGGCGGAAUGCGUGGUGUAGCGGUGAAAUGCUUAGAUAUCACGAAGAACUCCGAUUGCGAAGGCAGCUCACUGGACUGCAACUGACACUGAGGCUCGAAAGUGUGGGUAUCAAACAGGAUUAGAUACCCUAGUAGUC
This 460-nucleotide ribosomal RNA is filed under the name uncultured bacterium. RNAcentral describes it as "partial 16S ribosomal RNA". It matches the Rfam family "Bacterial small subunit ribosomal RNA", at positions 338 to 795 of the family's 1533-position model. The record is from RNAcentral.